This is an RNA transcript of Cydia pomonella (codling moth), 2672 nucleotides long. It is a transcript of the gene named adult-specific cuticular protein ACP-22-like, with no coding region annotated. The transcript has 4 exons. Lineage: Eukaryota; Metazoa; Arthropoda; Insecta; Lepidoptera; Tortricidae. The record is from RefSeq and is a predicted model, not a curated record.
UUAUCGCUCCUAACUUGUAUAAUAAUUAAAAAAAUCAAGAAAAAGUCAAACAAAGAGGCACAGUUGUUUGAGGAAAUGGAAACUACUCGUACAUUUCUAUGGAAAAGCGGUCGUCCAUUAUCUUCUUAAAGUCCGUUUAUUUUAUAUAAUGUCCACAGGAAAGUCGCAUAGGUAACCUUAAAUCAUACUAAAUAAGUUCAUGACCUGAAUGUCUGUGUGUUAGAUAUAUAUAGUUAUGAGAUUCGGAUUACCUACAUAAAAAUAAGUCAUCAUCAUCAUCUGUCUGCACCAUUCACCAUCAUCUGGGAUCGGCUCUCUUUGUCCAUUUUCUCCAUUCCACCUUCAUAUAAAUUAAUCAAAUAAGUAAAACAGCUCCUCGGUUGGGUACCCCUGCAAACAGAUGCACUCUACCAUAACUUGGGCUGUAGUCACAAGUUGUUAAGUAUAUUAUUGCAAAUAGAUACCAAUAUAAAAACCAACAUACUCACCCACCGUAUCAUUAUUGUACUGACACCUCAAAUCAAGACAUCAGCGCUUCAGCACAAUGUGUCUCAAAGUUGUGUUGCUUAGUGUGGCAAUGGCCGUCUGCCAUGCCGGUUACAUCGGAUUGGAUGCGACCUCGUCACAAACUGUAGUUCGCCACGACGAACUCGAGCAACACGGACAUAUUGGACAUGCCGGACAUGUCUCACAUGCUGGUCAUAUCGGAGAUGUCGGUGCUCCCAUCUAUGAGCCGAGCUAUGAAAAUGAAGCACACUAUGUGUACCAUGGCGCAGGAUACAACCCUGGAGAUUACAAUCACGGUCAGAACGAGGCUUAUGAGGAGUACUCCGCUGGUGUUCAACUUCAUGCAGCAUACCAGCCUCUGGCUACAUACGCCUCCGGAUACAAUAACUAUGCUCCACCGAAGUACCACUUCACGUACUCCGUGUCGGACCCGCACACGGGCGACCACAAGUCGCAGUUUGAGUCGCGUGACGGCGACGUCGUGAAGGGCAUGUACUCGCUGGUAGAGCCGGACGGCAACGUGCGCACCGUGCAUUACACCGCCGACGACGUCAAUGGGUAAUUUUAACCACUUUUUUUCUGAAUUACCAAAUUUACAUUAAGUAUCUUUGUAUUUAUACUGGGAUGUCAUAAACUGGAGAGACUAAAGGGCUUAAGUCCUAUGUUGCUGUUCUACAAUUUAAACGGCCUACCACCUGCCUACUCAAAAUUAAACACUACAACAAUGUAUACGUUUAAAGUAGGUCGAAAUCGUGAUUUUAUUUAAGUGCAUAUUAGUGUUCACCUGACGUUACAGCUUAGUUUCUUUUAUGGCCUGCCUAACCUUAUCAUAACGACUACGAUUGGCGCUCCUAACACCCUUAGGUAAUUGUAAUUAGCAGUCUUAUCUAGAUCUAGGCUUCAUUGCGCAUUACACAUAAAUCAUGUCACGGAAAACCUAAGCUAUUUAAUGGACCUGAAUCCGGCCCUUGAGCCUACUAAAGCAAGCUUUAUGUAAUUCUCCGGAUUACCCAAUGAUAUUCAUCGAGAAAAGUUCUUGAACCACUUUCGUUUUCCUAGUUGGUAUUAUAAUAUUUUGUUCGAAGCUUGUAAAAUACAAAUGUUUAUGAGCUCUUAAAUAUGACAGGUCCAUAAUUAUAUUAGUUUAGUGGUAAUAAGGCCUUUGUCAAGAAAUCCAGCCGAAGUAUUUACACAGGCUGUUUUUUAGAGGAAUGCCGUUUUGUGUUUUACAAGUUUUAAUUUAACCGUCUACAGCGGUAGUCCCUGUAUUUAAAAUGACUGACGUAAAGAUAAUCGUUUUGGAGGAGAUUUUGGAAACGAUCAAAAGUUUAAAAGGUACCUACAAAAGCUAAAAACAACUUUAAUUAUUCGGCCGCGAUAUGUGUUCUUGAGAAACAUAAAUACUCAUAGUUACAUAUUUUCUAAUGCAAUUACUGAACAACUGCAGUUAUUUAGGGGUAAUAAAUCAGUUACUAGACAAUCGAUAUCGAGACAAAGUUUUGAACCCACGACCUUUACAAAUGCACACUUACACAGGCCACUUACAAUCCAUUGGCCGCACAAAUAAAAGAACAGCGAGCGUAACCCAGUUAUUGACAUGAAUCGAGUCAUUGAUGCCGAAUGGCCUUGAUACUGGCAUCAGUUUGGGCCGCCGAAGAACGCCUGACCGAUUCGAUUCACUUUAUUUGUUUACUUACAUAAUACAAUAAUACCCAAAUAAAGCAAUACUCCGAUUACUUUUCACCUUGUAAAUACGUUGACAAUGUCAUUAUUGAAACAUUAAGUCAAUUGACAUGACUUGUUAUUUACAAUUUCUGCAAUAUAAAGCUCGUAAAUGUUGUUCCUGUUUAUUGCUCGUAAUUAUUGAUCCUGUUACCAUGCUAUUAGUACCUACGUACUUAUUUAAUGUUUUGGAAUGAACUCAUCUCAUUUGAUUUACGAUAACAUCUGUUAAACAAAUAAAUCGGGGCAAUAAAAAUAAACAGGGUCCUUAAGUAUAUUUCCGCUAACUACGGACUCUUAUAUAACGGCAUUUUCAACAGCCUGUGUUUACGACUAAUUUACAAUUUCUACAUAAAUUUAAUUUGCUAUUUACUUAUUUCAACGAGGCGUAAACACAUUUCUAUAUUGUAAUAAAUUAAUAAUAAUGUUAACGUUUGCGUUAU